Molecule: long non-coding RNA, 540 nt
Organism: Aedes aegypti (yellow fever mosquito)
Lineage: Eukaryota; Metazoa; Arthropoda; Insecta; Diptera; Culicidae
Exons: 2
Source: RefSeq, a predicted model, not a curated record
AACGAAAGCACCUUCUUUAUAUUGAAUGAUUCGUAAUUCACAUGGCCGCAAAACUUCAUUUUCCUUAUUUUGAAUGACUACGAAAGAAGAUGAUGCUUCCACCGACUACAGAACGAAAAUCAUCCAUUUUAGUAAUGAUUUGCUGUAUAUAGCCGUAUGACAAUAAGUAGAUAAUUGAAUGAAGUCAACACAAAUGAAUAACCUACAGUUUCUGAAGGAUUUUAUUUCCUUCCAUGUCCUAAUUCGAAAAUCAUUCAAUUACCAUCUAAAAUAUCAUACAGCAAAUUAAUGAUCCCAACUGUCAAAUCAUGCUUGAAAACAUUGUAAAAAUAUGGUGGCAGCAGCAUGGUGUAUUGACUUUUCCAUCAUGGAUUUUGUAGGGAUAUAUCGAGACCGUUUAUACACAGUUCGUGCAAUAAUGUAUUUUUGUGCAAUUAAGGUUUUUGGACGAGGAUUUGGUGGAGUCACAACGGGCCUGUGGACAUGAGAUAAACUCAUAUUUGUGAAUAAUGGAAAUAAAUAAUGAAGUGCAUUGAACUA